This 253-nucleotide ribosomal RNA is filed under the name uncultured bacterium. Its description in RNAcentral is "partial 16S ribosomal RNA". It matches the Rfam family "Bacterial small subunit ribosomal RNA", at positions 524 to 776 of the family's 1533-position model. The record is from RNAcentral.
UACGUAGGGGGCUAGCGUUGUCCGGAAUCAUUGGGCGUAAAGCGCGUGUAGGCGGUUCGGUAAGUCCGCUGUGAAAGUCGGGGGCUCAACCCUCGAAUGCCGGUGGAUACUGUCGGACUAGAGUACGGAAGAGGCGAGUGGAAUUCCUGGUGUAGCGGUGAAAUGCGCAGAUAUCAGGAAGAACACCGACGGCGAAGGCAGCUCGCUGGGACGGUACUGACGCUGAGGCGCGAAAGCGUGGGGAGCGAACAGG